UAUGCCUACGGGAGGCAGCAGUGGGGAAUAUUGCGCAAUGGGCGAAAGCCUGACGCAGCGACGCCGCGUGAGGGGUGAAGGUCUUCGGAUCGUAAACCUCUGUCAGCAGGGAGGAACGGUCACUGUGCUAAUCAGCAGUGAAUUGACGGUACCUGCAAAGGAAGCACCGGCUAACUCCGUGCCAGCAGCCGCGGUAAUACGGAGGGCGCGAGCGUUAAUCGGAAUUACUGGGCGUAACGCGCGCGUAGGCGGUAUGUCAAGGCAAGGGUGA
RNAcentral lists this ribosomal RNA (271 nucleotides) under uncultured bacterium. Its description in RNAcentral is "partial 16S ribosomal RNA". It matches the Rfam family "Bacterial small subunit ribosomal RNA", at positions 334 to 597 of the family's 1533-position model. The record is from RNAcentral.